Molecule: small nucleolar RNA, 160 nt
Organism: Sceloporus undulatus (fence lizard)
Lineage: Eukaryota; Metazoa; Chordata; Lepidosauria; Squamata; Phrynosomatidae
Source: RefSeq, a predicted model, not a curated record
UAUGUGCACUGUUAGAGUUCAGAGAUGCAAUUAGUCCCUUGCUGAUGAACUCCUUAAGUAUAGAAAGUGCACUAGAUCAAUUUGGGCAGUAUUUUUUUGCUAAUGCCAUAGGGAUCUUUGAUUUAAUGAGUAGAGUUUGAUAAUGAUCCUUGCCACAUUU